UACGUAGGGGCCGAGCGUUGUCCGGAGUUACUGGGCGUAAAGCGCGCGCAGGCGGCGCAUCGCGCCCGGCGUGAAAGCCCCCGGCUCAACCGGGGAGGGUCGUCGGGGACGGGUGCGCUUGAGGACGGCAGGGGCAGGUGGAAUUCCCGGUGUAGUGGUGAAAUUCGUAGAUAUUCGGAAGAACACCAGUGGCGAAGGCGGCUCACUGGACUGGUAUUGACGCUGAGGUGCGAAAGCGUGGGGAGCAAACAGG
This 253-nucleotide ribosomal RNA is filed under the name uncultured bacterium. RNAcentral describes it as "partial 16S ribosomal RNA". It matches the Rfam family "Bacterial small subunit ribosomal RNA", at positions 524 to 776 of the family's 1533-position model. The record is from RNAcentral.